CAUCAUUGAAGGAGCCUCUGUAUGUAUGCAGAGCAUCACAUAGUGGUCUGCUCCUCCUCGUCUUGGAGAGGCUGCGUUCUGUUUCUAUGGCAACACCCCUCCUCCUCAUCCCUUUCCUCACGUUCACAUCUCGUACGCAACCUCCUCUGUCUGAUUCCCUUCUCCGAGGCAACGACCCCCCUGCACUGUGCGAGACCCGCAGCAUCAAUCUGACAGGAGGAUAUAGCAGGAGACGAGACAAGGACACGGAGAAAAAACAUGGCGCUCAUCCCAUCUCAGGUGCUAAGGGUAGCCAUUCUCCUGUCCUAUUUCUCCAUCCUCUGCAAUUAUAAAGCAAUUGACAUGCCCGCGCAUCAAACAUAUGGCGGGAGCUGGAAGUUUUUAACAUUCAUAGACCUGGUGAUCCAGGCAGUUUUCUUUGGCGUGUGUGUGCUGACAGACCUGUCCAGACUGCUGACGAAGGGCAGUGAGAACCAGGAGCAAGACAGGCAGCUUAGGAAGCUCAUUGGCCUGAGGGACUGGAUGAUGGCCGUGCUGGCCUUCCCCGUUGGAGUGGUCGCCAGACACAUGCUAGUCUUUAGCCUAUAUGUUGGUCAGCCAAAUCCAUCUCACUUGUCACUGGUGAAACCGAAAGGCUGACGGAAAGGAAAGGUCCCCUAGCUAGCCUUCCCUGUGAGUCAGUGGACACCUUUCCCUGGUGCAUGCUGCUGUCUGUGGUCUUACUGGACUGCACUGGCCUCUGGGAGGGCCUUUGCAUAAGUAAGGACACCGAGUCACAUUGUCUUGGAUGCAGCACGGCCCAUUUGCUUUGCAAAUGCCAAGUCAUCUAUCAGGAUGGGUGUCAUGUGACAGCCUUGGAGGCAGCGGUCAGGCAGCGGGCAGGCAACGAGAAAAAGGAAACUGUGUUUGUCUUGCUUUUAUAUGCCCUUGUGUCCGUGAUUUCCAUCUGAUAAUUACUCUGAAAAUAUUUCAAUUGGAUCUUUGCUGCCGUCUUUUUUUUCUGUUGCAGGAAGAGGUGAUGUUUUAGUUUCAUACAGUGAGGAGGAAGGGCCAGGGUGCCCAGGCAGCAGGCGCUGAGGGGUUCGUACAGAGAUGUGUAUUUAUAAGUUUGUGGUGACCAUGUUCUGGACCCUGUACUUGUAUGACAGAGACCUGGUGUACCCCAGACUGCUGGACAACUUCAUACCCCAGUGGCUCAACCACGGCAUGCACACAACCGUCCUCCCCUUCAUCAUCAUUGAGAUGAGGACCACGCACCACCAGUAUCCCAGCAGGCCUUGUGGAACGAUAGCUGUGUGCAGCUUUGCCGUGGGAUACGUUAUAUGGAUGUGCUGGGUGAACCAUGUGACCGGCGUGUGGGUCUACCCCCUGUUGGAGCAGAUCAGUCCCCUGGCGAAGGUGGCCUUCUUCUUCUGCCUCACUGUCCUGAUUAACAUCUACUACGUCCUGGGAGAGAUCCUCAACAGCUACAUCUGGGACGCCUCCAAAUGUGUUCUAGACACAGACAAGGCUAAAUCCGACUGAAGGCCAACACGUGUGGGAACCUUGCCAUCAAGUCAAGACCCAGUCCUCACUGGGCUGCCGCAAAGACAGGCCCAAUCCCGCCUCGGACUGCAGAAUAACAACCACUGUGUAAAUAAAUGAUGGAAAAAUACGUGGGAAUGUUAUGUUGGCUUUUAAAGCUGUGUUCGGAGUCCUCCUCUUAAAAUUGUUGAGACUGUAGCUAAGAACUGAGAUGCCUGUUUUCCGUCGAUGACAAGGUGGGGUAUGAAUUCUCCACCUUUCUAUUCACUGGAGGUAUGACGAUGACAUUACAUUUACCCACUUAUUAAUAUUGAAUCAUCCUGUUCAUCCACCUCAAAGGCUCAAGUUAUUAUCUGAACACAGAGUAUAGUGUAUUAGUGGAAUGAACUAACUGCUACGGUAUGAUAUUAAUCUUAAGAUGCUUAGGCACGCCAGCAGAGUUAGCAAAAGCCAUGUAUUCAAAUUCUCUUCUCUUGUUUCUUUUGACUGGAGUGCUUUCCAGCGAGGGCAUCUCGUACAGUGGCAGGAAUGAUCGCCUUUUCUUGGAUGUGUAUUGUCUAACAGCUGUACCACAGAAUGUUAUUUUCUGGGACAGCCAGACUGGCAGCUCCGCUGCUCCAAAAUAUCCUUUCUUGUUUUAAUGCUUUUGUAAAAAAAGAAAAGAAAAAAGGAUGACCGCAUUUAAAGUGUCUGGUCUUUCAAUAAAAAGUUGUUAUUUA
Molecule: RNA transcript, 2243 nt
Organism: Oncorhynchus kisutch (coho salmon)
Lineage: Eukaryota; Metazoa; Chordata; Actinopteri; Salmoniformes; Salmonidae
Gene: aig1
Gene name: androgen-induced 1 (H. sapiens)
Exons: 7
Source: RefSeq, a predicted model, not a curated record